Molecule: ribosomal RNA, 1053 nt
Filed under: Triticum aestivum (bread wheat)
Lineage: Eukaryota; Viridiplantae; Streptophyta; Magnoliopsida; Poales; Poaceae
Description: partial small subunit ribosomal RNA
Source: RNAcentral
AUGGCGGCGGCGGCGAACGGCGGGGGCGGGGAGACCAAGGCGGCGUUCGCGCGGAUCUACGACGCGCUCAAGGCGGAGCUGCUCCGGGACCCCGCCUUCGAGUACACGGAGUCGUCGCACCAGUGGAUCGACCGCAUGCUGGACUACAAUGUACUGGGAGGAAAGUGCAACCGUGGGCUCUCUGUGGUCGAUAGCUAUAAGCUGUUGAAAGGCGUCGAUGUUCUUACCGAGGAGGAGAUGUUUCUUGCCUCCACUCUCGGUUGGUGCAUUGAAUGGCUUCAAGCCUUCUUUCUUGUGCUCGAUGAUAUCAUGGACGACUCCCACACUCGACGUGGGCAGCCUUGUUGGUUUAGGGUGCCUCAGGUUGGCUUCAUUGCUGUAAAUGAUGGGAUUCUCCUUCGCAACCAUAUUUCGAGAAUGCUUCGGCUCCACUUUAAGAAGAAGCCUUACUAUGCCGAUCUCCUUGAUUUAUUCAACGAGGUUGAGUUCAAGACAGCUUCUGGUCAAAUGCUGGACCUUAUUACAACCCACGAGGGAGAAAAAGAUCUAACGAAAUAUAACAUUGGGGUCCACCGCCGAAUUGUUCAAUUCAAGACAGCCUACUAUUCAUUUUAUCUGCCGGUUGCAUGUGCGCUACUACUCUCUGGUGAGAGUUUGGAGAACUACGGUGCUGUAGAGAACAUACUUGUUGAGAUGGGAACUUACUUCCAAGUUCAGGAUGAUUAUCUGGACUGUUAUGGUGAUCCUGAAUUUAUUGGCAAGAUCGGCACCGACAUUGAAGAUUACAAGUGCUCCUGGCUAGUUGUCCAAGCUCUUGAGCAUGCUGAUGAGAGCCAAAAGAGCAUUCUAUUUGAAAACUAUGGAAAGAAAGAUCCAGCAUGUGUGGCAAAAGUGAAGGAUCUCUACAAAGAACUUAACCUUGAGGCGGUAUUUCAUGAGUACGAGAGCGAGAGCUACAAGAAGCUGAUUGCUGAUAUCGAAGCCCAGCCGAGCGUUCCUGUUCAGAAGGUUCUGAAGUCCUUCUUGCACAAGAUCUACAUGAGGCAGAAGUAG